CGUGCUCAGCGUACGUAGCCGCUCCUCCUGUGGAGCCGCUGCUGUGAAUGGUGAGGAGGACGGAAUAAAGAGCUGUCUGCUGUCACCGAACGGUUAAGAAGGCACCAAAGCAGGAACUUAAGACGGCACAUCCGGUGUGGAAGGUGAAAAAAUACCAGAGUUCACCCCACCCACAGCACCCUUUUGGCUGAGGAACCUGAAGAGCCUGUCUGAGCCUGCCACAAACAGCAGGCGCAGUGAAGACAGACCUGUACUGUGCAAUGGCGCUGUUGACCCUUCACAGGAUCCCAUCUAUCUCCACUGCUCCAUUGCGUAACAGGUAACGUUACUGUCUCAAGUUUCUCUCUGUGUAAACCCUUGGUUCCACUGCCACUUCUCUCUUGUUUCUUUCUCC
Molecule: long non-coding RNA, 394 nt
Organism: Parambassis ranga (Indian glassy fish)
Lineage: Eukaryota; Metazoa; Chordata; Actinopteri; Ambassidae
Source: Ensembl